This 4133-nucleotide long non-coding RNA is filed under the name Prunus persica (peach). Its description in RNAcentral is "long non-coding RNA (PPER_LNC005087)". The record is from RNAcentral. Lineage: Eukaryota; Viridiplantae; Streptophyta; Magnoliopsida; Rosales; Rosaceae.
AAACGAUUGAUCGGCCAAGUAAGGAACCUCCUCUUGGCCUAGGUUCUUUCACUUCCUUGGGCUCGAGGAUGGUUAGGCUUCAUACGGAUGUUUUUGUGAUUUUUAGGUUUCUAAAUAAAAAAUAAUGCAAUUAAGCUAAAUGUGCGUUUAAACGUAAAGACAAGAAUUAAAGUGCAAUAAAAUAAAUCAAAGCAAUAAAUAAAGCAAUAAAUAAAGCAAGAACAACAAGAAUGAUAAACUAAAAUAAACUGGAAAUUAAACUUAAUAAAAGUGCAAUGACAAUGAAAGGUAAAGCAAUUGAAAUAAACUGGAAUUUAAAUGACAAAGAAUGUAAAUCGAACAAGAAUUUAAAUGACAAGAAAAAUAUAAAUUGAACAAGAAUUUAAACUUACACUAGAAAAAGGAAGAACUCGGUACACUAGGUGCUUGAAAAUUAAAAUCCUAAGUGUGGUAAUCAAAUUAAAUUAAAACCCUGGGUCAAAUAAUUCCUUCCAUUUGGGGAUUAUUUGACCUAAUUGGGAAUUACUCAACCUAAUUAGGAGUUACUCAAUUUAAUUGGGAGUUACCUAGUUAAAUUGAGAGUUACAUAAUUAAAUAGAGAAUUGAUUUGAUUCUAACCACAAUUCCCAAUUAAAUGAGGAGUUACCUAAUCAAAUUAGGAAUUGAUUUGAUUCCUACCACAAUUAGGGAUUUGAUUUACUCUAAUAAAUCAAAUCCCUAAUUAAUCAAAUCAAUUCCAAAUCGGGGAGGAAUAAUUCCUUUCCAUCUAUGGAAUUAUUCCUCUGAAACCCUAACCUCCAAGACCACUACAAAAAGAUGGUCACACAUAAGGGUUGAGGUACGUCAGAAUUGCUACUAAAAACUCUAUAGAGAUCUUCCCCUCACAAACCCAUGGGCUGGCCAUUGAUUGGCCAAAUGUCAAUACUUUUAAAACUCUUUCCUUUUGAGGCCCCUUGAAUCCGUGGGAUUACAUUAGUUGAAAUAUUCUGAUUGCUUGAUUCUCUCUUGUUUUGGAAUAUUCUGAACUGUCAUCAAUCUCCUUGAUUUAUUUCCUUGUGAGGCCUCCGUCACAUGCACACUAACCUCAGAAAUCUUGGGUGUGAAUCCCUGGCUUGGGCUUGGACCUCCGAGAUUUCAUCUAGACAUCUGGCGGAACCUCUUGCCCUUUGAGUGUUUAGAAUUCUAGAGUUGGCUGAUCAUCCUCCAAGGUGGGUGGUAUGAGAACUCCAAAUAUUAGGAUGUUGGGCUUGGCCUCACAUUGGACUAUCUUUGAGUUCUCAAAAUAUUUGAAUAUUAGGAACUCGGCUGACAUGCCUCCCGCAGAACUUCAACUCCCUCGGCGGAAAUACUUCCUGCUAACUCCGGCGGAAAUACCUCCAGCCAAACUUUAACUCCCUCGGCCCAACUUUACUUGCCCAAGUGUUGUGAAGAGGGGGCCCGGGUGAGCAAGGAGAAAUCCGCCCCAGCCCAACUUUUUGUAAGAGGAGUGGCUAACCAAGGUAUUUAAGGAGUGAUCGGCUCAACUUUUUGAGAAGUGCCGUACCACUUUUGCAAAAGGAAGUGUUUGGCCAAUUUUGCAAGGAUAUGCCCAACCACUUUUGCAAAGGGAAGCACUCGGUCAUAUUUUUGAGAAGGCACCAUGGUCUUUAAAGAAAACGCAUCGGCCACCUUGCAACAACCAUUCGAAAAUUCGAUCGUGAUUUUCCAAAAUCCUUCAGGGCUUUCGGGCGCAACAGACUCCUAGCCCGGCUGCAUUUUCAGCUCUUAACCCGACCGCAUAUUUAAUCCAUACUUGGAUGCAGCCUAGUCAUGUUCUUCAAUAGAUCCAGCAGCAACUCGCUGCCAAAGUUCGGCGGCAAUCCUCAGCCACACUUCAAACAAAACCCGACCAUACUCAAACCCCUUGCCACUUUCGAGCACAACCCAACCUUCUUUUUCAGCCGUACUUCGAACAAGGCCCAGCCAUCUUCUUCAGCCGCACUUCAAACAAGGCCCGACCAUUCUUCGAACACCUUCAGCCACCUUCAAUCUCUAGCCUCACUUUAAACAAAGCUUGACUGCAAUCUCAGCUACAUUCAAACUGUCCAGUCGAGUCUCGCCAGGCCCAACUGCACCCAAUUCUUGACCACCAAAGCUCCAAGACUCCAACAAUUUUGAUCGCACUUCGAACUUCUAGCUCGAGCUCAUCUUUGCUUCCAGCCCAACAAUAAUUCUCCAACAAAGCUCGAACGCGGCCGGCUUCCUUCUCCAGCAAAACCCGGCCGCUUUCUAGCCGCAUAAAUCCCACAACACCCGACUGCCAAGCUCUCCAAGUCUCGGCCAGCUUUCGCACGUCAUAACCCCAAUAGCCCAUUCGCUUGUACUUUCGAAAGGGUGCUCGAGUUUAGUGGAUUUUCACCACCCCAAAACAGUGAGACCACUCAAUAUAGAGUACAGAUCUCAUUAAGAGUUAUAAAGAACUCAACCUUAAAUCGCUUCAGGAUUUCAUGCUUCUAAGGAUGGAUAUAGAACAAUAGCAUGAAUCCACUCAUAUUACUAGAUGACUGGUUAUUUCUUGGGAUUUCCAAUCUAUAGGUUAGGUUACCAUCACAAGUGACUUAACCUUCUAUGGGUUUUAGUCCCAUUUCUUUUCAGGUUUUCCAAACCUUUUCUCGUGUUAGUCCUUUCGUCAAAAGAUCAGCUAAUCAGAUUGUACAUAAUCCACCCUUACAGCCCUAUUGGAAAGAAACUCUCUAAUAGUGUUGUGCUUGCGACGUAUUUUUAGCCUCUUGCCAUUAUAAUAACGAUUCUUCCCAUCUGACAGUAGUUUUCUCAACCAACCUACUUCCUCACUAGCCAUUGCUAGGGCUAUCAUCUCUUACUCCAAUAUGGAGUAAGCCAGAAUAGUCUGUUUCUUAGACUUCCAUGAAACUGCACCACCAGCAAUAUUAAAUAUACAUCCGUUAGUAGCCUUUGAAUCAUCUGAUAAAAUAUUCCAAUCAGUAUCGCUGUAUCCGUUUAGGACAACGGGAAACUUCUCAUAGUGUAAUCUAAGGUUCAUAAUCUUUUUAAGGUAUUGCAUGACCCUCUCAAUAACAUACCAAUGCUUCAAACUAUGUCCAAUUGCAAGUCUGCAUAUUACUCCUACAACAUAAGCUAUAUUAGGCCUAGUGCAAUUAGUAGCAUAUCGAAGGCUACCAAUGAUGCUUGCAUACUCUGUUUGUCUAACACUGUCACCAAUGUUCUUGAACAACUUUACACUAAGAUAAUAAGGAGUAACUGCUGGAUUACAAUCAAAGUAAUUAUAUUUCUUAAGGAUUUUUUCAAUGUAAUGAGAUUGAUCCAAAUAGAAUCCUUUUUCUAAACCAGUUACCUUAAUUCCAAGUAUUACACUAGCUUCAUUUAAAUCUUUCAUAUGAAAGUUUGCACAUAACAAAGAUUUGACAUUAUUCACAACAUGAAUAUUAGAGCCAAAAAUAAGUAAGUCAUCCACAUUGAGACAUAGGGUAAAUUACUCAGAUGGUUCUCAAACUUAUACACGAUUUAUAUUUUGGUCCGUCAAUUAAAUUAUUCAUUCAAAUGGUCCAUCAAUUCUAUAUUAUUCGCUUCAUUAAUCCCACCAUCUAAUUUUCUGUUAGAUUUAACCAAAUUUUAGGGUAAAUAUGACUUUUCAUAAUUAACAAAUAAAAAUUGGAGUAUUUCAAAGAUUCACUGAAAUUUUAAACGAAGCAAAACUUGAAAUGAAAACUCUAAACCACCCAACACAAUACUCAAACCUCAAUAAAAAUAAGAAUAAAGAUUUGAAGCUGUGUUGCCAUUACCAAUUAUAUCUUUGAGAAUCAGCUGCUUUCGAAUAUUAGCAGACAGAGGCCGGGGAGAAGAGAGAAACCAUACAUCAAGGGUCUCCUUCAACUUCAAGACUUUGCUAGAAGAAAUGCUACAUAUCAAAUAAAUCAAGUUUUCUUAAGGGUGGCUGUGGGACGAGUUUGAUUAGUUGUGGUUGUGGGCUUGGGUGAAGGGUGGCUGUGGGGGAUUGGGGGGCUAUAUUUUUGGGUGUCUUGAGAAAUUUUUAGUGGUGAUUGGGCGAUAAUUGCUGGGUAGGCGAAGAGUGCUGGGAGAGAGAGAGUGUUUUGGGAGUAUAGGGUGGCUGUGGG